RNAcentral lists this ribosomal RNA (674 nucleotides) under Pseudoalteromonas sp. SC-D6-11. RNAcentral's name for it is "bacterial SSU rRNA". It matches the Rfam family "Bacterial small subunit ribosomal RNA", at positions 41 to 706 of the family's 1533-position model. The record is from RNAcentral. Lineage: Bacteria; Pseudomonadati; Pseudomonadota; Gammaproteobacteria; Alteromonadales; Pseudoalteromonadaceae.
GGCGGCCUACACAUGCAAGUCGAGCGGAAACGAAGAGGUGCUUGCACCUCUGGCGUCGAGCGGCGGACGGGUGAGUAAUGCUUGGGAAUAUGCCUUAUGGUGGGGGACAACAGUUGGAAACGACUGCUAAUACCGCAUGAUGUCUACGGACCAAAGUGGGGGACCUUCGGGCCUCACGCCAUAAGAUUAGCCCAAGUGGGAUUAGCUAGUUGGUGAGGUAAUGGCUCACCAAGGCGACGAUCCCUAGCUGGUUUGAGAGGAUGAUCAGCCACACUGGGACUGAGACACGGCCCAGACUCCUACGGGAGGCAGCAGUGGGGAAUAUUGCACAAUGGGCGCAAGCCUGAUGCAGCCAUGCCGCGUGUGUGAAGAAGGCCUUCGGGUUGUAAAGCACUUUCAGUAAGGAGGAAAGGUUAAGUGUUAAUAGCACUUAGCUGUGACGUUACUUACAGAAGAAGCACCGGCUAACUCCGUGCCAGCAGCCGCGGUAAUACGGAGGGUGCGAGCGUUAUCCGGAAUUACUGGGCGUAAAGCGUACGCAGGCGGUUUGUUAAGCGAGAUGUGAAAGCCCCGGGCUCAACCUGGGAACUGCAUUUCGAACUGGCUAAUUAGAGUGUGAUAGACGGUGGUAGAUUUUCUGGUGUAGCGGUUAAAUGCGUAGAGAUCUGAAGGAA